AUUGAACGCUGGCGGCAGGCCUAACACAUGCAAGUCGAGCGGAUGAAGGGAGCUUGCUCCUGGAUUCAGCGGCGGACGGGUGAGUAAUGCCUAGGAAUCUGCCUGGUAGUGGGGGAUAACGUCCGGAAACGGGCGCUAAUACCGCAUACGUCCUGAGGGAGAAAGUGGGGGAUCUUCGGACCUCACGCUAUCAGAUGAGCCUAGGUCGGAUUAGCUAGUUGGUGGGGUAAAGGCCUACCAAGGCGACGAUCCGUAACUGGUCUGAGAGGAUGAUCAGUCACACUGGACCUGAGACCCGGUCAGACUCCUACGGGAGGCAGCAGUGGGGAAUAUUGGACAAUGGGCGAAAGCCUGAUCCAGCCAUGCCGCGUGUGUGAAGAAGGUCUUCGGAUUGUAAAGCACUUUAAGUUGGGAGGAAGGGCAGUAAGUUAAUACCUUGCUGUUUUGACGUUACCAACAGAAUAAGCACCGGCUAACUUCGUG
Molecule: ribosomal RNA, 483 nt
Filed under: uncultured bacterium
Lineage: Bacteria
Description: partial 16S ribosomal RNA
Rfam family: Bacterial small subunit ribosomal RNA
Source: RNAcentral